GAUGAACGCUGGCGGCGUGCUUAACACAUGCAAGUCGAACGAUGAAGCCCAGCUUGCUGGGUGGAUUAGUGGCGAACGGGUGAGUAACACGUGAGUAACCUGCCCUCAACUCUGGGAUAAGCCUGGGAAACUGGGUCUAAUACCGGAUAGGAGCGUCCACCGCAUGGUGGGUGUUGGAAAGAUUUAUCGGUUUUGGAUGGACUCGCGGCUUAUCAGCUUGUUGGUGAGGUAAUGGCUCACCAAGGCGACGACGGGUAGCCGGCCUGAGAGGGGGACCGGCCACACGGGGACUGAGACACGGCCCAGACUCGUACGGGAGGCAGCGGUGGGGAAUAUUGCACGAUGGGCGCAAGCCUGAUGCAGGGACGCCGCGUGCGGGAUGAAGGGCUUCGGGUUGUGAACCUAUUUCUGUAGGGAAGAAGCGAAAGUGACGGUACCUGAAGAAGAAGCACCGGCUAACUACGUG
Molecule: ribosomal RNA, 466 nt
Filed under: uncultured bacterium
Lineage: Bacteria
Description: partial 16S ribosomal RNA
Rfam family: Bacterial small subunit ribosomal RNA
Source: RNAcentral